CUCGCGUCCCUUAGCUCCCCUGGGUGGGCGCGGGAGGCCCCGGCACCCCCUGGGCGCAGCCGUCCCCGCGGAGAGUAGAUUUUAUUCACUGAGACGAUCGUAUGGCUGGCAGACCCUUGCUCUAAGGCCUGAAACGUUGACUGGAAACACCACCAGGGCAGAGGUUACGAC
Dryobates pubescens (Downy woodpecker) is the source of this 171-nucleotide long non-coding RNA. RefSeq lists it as uncharacterized. Lineage: Eukaryota; Metazoa; Chordata; Aves; Piciformes; Picidae. The record is from RefSeq and is a predicted model, not a curated record. The transcript is spliced from 3 exons.